Molecule: ribosomal RNA, 154 nt
Filed under: Parnassia grandifolia
Lineage: Eukaryota; Viridiplantae; Streptophyta; Magnoliopsida; Celastrales; Celastraceae
Description: 5.8S ribosomal RNA
Rfam family: 5.8S ribosomal RNA
About the family: 5.8S ribosomal RNA (5.8S rRNA) is a component of the large subunit of the eukaryotic ribosome. It is transcribed by RNA polymerase I as part of the 45S precursor that also contains 18S and 28S rRNA. Functionally, it is thought that 5.8S rRNA may be involved in ribosome translocation.
Source: RNAcentral
ACUCUCGGCAACGGAUAUCUUGGCUCUCGCAUCGAUGAAGAACGUAGCAAAAUGCGAUAGCUGGUGUGAAUUGCAGAAUCCCGCGAACCAUCGAGUUUUUGAACGCAAGUUGCGCCUGAAGCCGUCAGGCUAAGGGCACGCCUGCCUGGGUGUC